Molecule: ribosomal RNA, 433 nt
Filed under: uncultured bacterium
Lineage: Bacteria
Description: partial 16S ribosomal RNA
Rfam family: Bacterial small subunit ribosomal RNA
Source: RNAcentral
AACGAACGCUGGCGGCAUGCCUAACACAUGCAAGUCGAACGAGACCUUCGGGUCUAGUGGCGCACGGGUGCGUAACGCGUGGGAACCUGCCCUUAGGUUCGGAAUAACUCCCCGAAAGGGGUGCUAAUACCGGAUAAUGUCUUCGGACCAAAGAUUUAUCGCCUUUGGAUGGGCCCGCGUUGGAUUAGCUAGUUGGUAGGGUAAAAGCCUACCAAGGCGACGAUCCAUAGCUGGUCUGAGAGGAUGAUCAGCCACACUGGGACUGAGACACGGCCCAGACUCCUACGGGAGGCAGCAGUGGGGAAUAUUGGACAAUGGGCGAAAGCCUGAUCCAGCAAUGCCGCGUGAGUGAUGAAGGCCUUAGGGUUGUAAAGCUCUUUUACCCGGGAUGAUAAUGACAGUACCGGGAGAAUAAGCUCCGGCUAGCCCCGUG